This 500-nucleotide ribosomal RNA is filed under the name Serratia marcescens. RNAcentral describes it as "bacterial SSU rRNA". It matches the Rfam family "Bacterial small subunit ribosomal RNA", at positions 39 to 527 of the family's 1533-position model. Lineage: Bacteria; Pseudomonadati; Pseudomonadota; Gammaproteobacteria; Enterobacterales; Yersiniaceae. The record is from RNAcentral.
GGCAAAGCGGCGGCUACCAUGCAGUCGAGCGGCAGCGGGAGGAAGCUUGCUUCCUCGCCGGCGAGCGGCGGACGGGUGAGUAAUGUCUGGGGAUCUGCCCGAUGGAGGGGGAUAACCACUGGAAACGGUGGCUAAUACCGCAUAACGUCGCAAGACCAAAGUGGGGGACCUUCGGGCCUCACACCAUCGGAUGAACCCAGAUGGGAUUAGCUAGUAGGUGGGGUAAUGGCUCACCUAGGCGACGAUCCCUAGCUGGUCUGAGAGGAUGACCAGCCACACUGGAACUGAGACACGGUCCAGACUCCUACGGGAGGCAGCAGUGGGGAAUAUUGCACAAUGGGCGCAAGCCUGAUGCAGCCAUGCCGCGUGUGUGAAGAAGGCCUUCGGGUUGUAAAGCACUUUCAGCGAGGAGGAAGGUGGUGAGCUUAAUACGCUCAUCAAUUGACGUUACUCGCAGAAGAAGCACCGGCUAACUCCGUGCCAGCAGCGGCGGUAAUAAA